GAUGAACGCUAGCGGCAGGCCUAACACAUGCAAGUCGAGGGGCAGCAUAAAUAAAGCUUGCUUUAUUGGUGGCGACCGGCGCACGGGUGAGUAACGCGUAUGUAACCUGCCCUGUACUGGGGGAUAACCCGGAGAAAUUCGGACUAAUACCCCAUAAUGUUAAUUGAUGGCAUCAUUGAUUGAUUAAAGGUUACGGUACAGGAUGGGCAUGCGUUCCAUUAGCUAGUUGGUAUGGUAACGGCAUACCAAGGCGACGAUGGAUAGGGGGCCGUGAGAGGGUGAUCCCCCACCACUGGUACUGAGACACGGACCAGACUCCUACGGGAGGCAGCAGUGAGGAAUAUUGGUCAAUGGAGGCAACUCUGAACCAGCCAUGCCGCGUGCAGGAAGACGGUCCUAUGGA
This 403-nucleotide ribosomal RNA is filed under the name uncultured bacterium. RNAcentral's name for it is "bacterial SSU rRNA". It matches the Rfam family "Bacterial small subunit ribosomal RNA", at positions 28 to 422 of the family's 1533-position model. The record is from RNAcentral.